RNAcentral lists this ribosomal RNA (886 nucleotides) under uncultured bacterium. RNAcentral's name for it is "bacterial SSU rRNA". It matches the Rfam family "Bacterial small subunit ribosomal RNA", at positions 8 to 853 of the family's 1533-position model. The record is from RNAcentral.
AGAGUUUGAUCCUGGCUCAGGACGAACGCUGGCGGCGUGCCUAAUACAUGCAAGUCGAGCGAGCUUGCCUAGAUGAUUUUAGCGCUUGCACUAAAUGAAACUAGAUACAAGCGAGCGGCGGACGGGUGAGUAACACGUGGGUAACCUGCCCAAGAGACUGGGAUAACACCUGGAAACAGAUGCUAAUACCGGAUAACAACACUAGACGCAUGUCUAGAGUUUGAAAGAUGGUUCUGCUAUCACUCUUGGAUGGACCUGCGGUGCAUUAGCUAGUUGGUAAGGUAACGGCUUACCAAGGCAAUGAUGCAUAGCCGAGUUGAGAGACUGAUCGGCCACAUUGGGACUGAGACACGGCCCAAACUCCUACGGGAGGCAGCAGUAGGGAAUCUUCCACAAUGGACGAAAGUCUGAUGGAGCAACGCCGCGUGAGUGAAGAAGGGUUUCGGCUCGUAAAGCUCUGUUGGUAGUGAAGAAAGAUAGAGGUAGUAACUGGCCUUUAUUUGACGGUAAUUACUUAGAAAGUCAUGGCUAACUACGUGCCAGCAGCCGCGGUAAUACGUAGGUGGCAAGCGUUGUCCGGAUUUAUUGGGCGUAAAGCGAGUGCAGGCGGUUCAAUAAGUCUGAUGUGAAAGCCUUCGGCUCAACCGGAGAAUUGCAUCAGAAACUGUUGAACUUGAGUGCAGAAGAGGAGAGUGGAACUCCAUGUGUAGCGGCGGAAUGCGUAGAUAUAUGGAAGAACACCAGUGGCGAAGGCGGCUCUCUGGUCUGCAACUGACGCUGAGGCUCGAAAGCACGGGUAGCGAACAGGAUUAGAUACCCUGGUAGUCCAUGCCGUAAACGAUGAGUGCUAAGUGUUGGGAGGUUUCCGCCUCUCAGUGCUGCAGCU